This 305-nucleotide ribosomal RNA is filed under the name uncultured bacterium. RNAcentral describes it as "bacterial SSU rRNA". It matches the Rfam family "Bacterial small subunit ribosomal RNA", at positions 338 to 660 of the family's 1533-position model. The record is from RNAcentral.
CCUACGGGAGGCAGCAGUGGGGAAUAUUGCGCAAUGGGGGCAACCCUGACGCAGCAACGCCGCGUGCGGGACGAAGGCCUUCGGGUUGUAAACCGCUUUCAGCAGGGAAGAACCAUGACGGUACCUGCAGAAGAAGCCCCGGCUAACUACGUGCCAGCAGCCGCGGUAAUACGUAGGGGGCGAGCGUUAUCCGGAUUCAUUGGGCGUAAAGCGCGCGCAGGCGGGCUUGCAAGCGGGGCCUCUAAUCUUGGGGCUUAACCUCAAGUCGGGUUCCGAACUGCAAGCCUCGAGUGUGGUAGGGGAAG